Patella vulgata (common limpet) is the source of this 2472-nucleotide long non-coding RNA. RefSeq lists it as uncharacterized. The transcript is spliced from 4 exons. Lineage: Eukaryota; Metazoa; Mollusca; Gastropoda; Patellidae. The record is from RefSeq and is a predicted model, not a curated record.
CUCUCGCGAAGUUCAAGGUCAUAGUGAUCACCUUGCUGUAUUACGAAAUAGAAAACAGAGAAUUUAACGUAUUUCUUGGAUUUUAAUUGACAUAUUCAACAUGGAGGAAUCCGAAGAAAAGAACAAUUCGAAGUCUGUAUUGUUUUAUAAAAGAAAUCUGUCCGAAGUACCCUGUUUUCGUAAAUCUUUUAUGACGGGUAUAAUGAGUGGUAUUGGACUUGGUUUAGGCCAUUUUAUGGCCACUAGUAAACCUCAAACAUCAUAUCAUGUUGCAUUUGGAUCAUUUACACUGAUUACUCUUGGAGUGUGGUUUAAUUGUCGCUAUCACUGGUCUGUGGAAAGAAUUCGUGAACGACAAUUUAAAGAUGCUUUAAGAAUAAAAGAAUACGAAGAGGGAUCAGAAAGUGUGAAGGUACCAUUACCUGAACAUAAAGAUCUAAAAGAGGUGUAAAUAAAACAAUUCUACCUGUGUACGGUUUUCAGAGGACAUUUUAAACAAGUGUUAAGAACGCUAGUUGUGUUGAUUUGACAAGUGUUCGAAGGUGAUUGACUAUCAGAUGAAAUCUAGGGGAAUACUCAAUUGAACAUUCCAGAAUUGAUGUAUCUCCACCAACCACGAAAGCUGGAAUAUAUUCGUUGGGUUUAAUUAUGUAACGAUUUUACAGAUAUUUAAUAAGCAUCCCCUAGAAGUAACCGCAACAAUCAGGCUACUGACUUGAUCUGGUUUCCUAGAAUUAGAGAGCAUUACAGAUUGAGCACAAAUAUAGAGAGACUAUGGAAGAAAAUCGGUACCAAUAAACAAUCUAGACUGUAUGGAAGAAAAUCGCUACCAAUAAACAAUCUAGAUUGUAUGGAAGAAAAUCACUAUUAAUAUCAUAAACAAUCUAGACUGUAUGGAAGAAAAUUGCUACCAAUAAACAAUCUAGACUGUAUGGAAGAAAAUCGUUACCAAUAAACAAUCUAGACUAUAUGGAAGAAAAUCGCUACCAAUAUCAUAAACAAUCUAGACUGUAUGGAAGAAAAUCGUUACCAAUAAACAACCUAGACUGUAUGGUAGGAAAUCGCUGCCAAUAAACAAUCUAGACUGUAAUGACAAUAAAUCUGGUUAUUUUCUGAAAUUAGAGAGGAUUGAAAACAACUGUAGACAUCCUGUUGCACUUGGUUGAUUUUCUGGGGCAAUUUGUAAGCUGGUUUUAAUUGUCCAUUAAUUAGUCAUUAAUCAAUUUCUUGCCCAAUCAGCACAAGCUAAUAUAUCUUGUGAUCUCACAAAAUGGCAGACCACCAUACGGAACUGGGUUUUUAUCCAUGGCUAGCCACCAUGUUGACUAGUCAUAAGGUAAGCGGUAGAAGUUCCUGAAACGUUGUCUGCAUAUUACUUUAUGUCCUUUCAUAUUUAACGGCUUUGCUGGUUGCCGAAUAAAAAAUCAUCCAUGUGCACCUGACUUUACACAGUUGUGUGAUACGUCAACACAAUUGUGUCCACCUUGAAUCAAGAAAAAUACUAUGUUGAACUAAUGCUGAUAAAUAAUUUCAGGGAAAGCUAAUAACUGUUUUAAACAGUCAAAUACUAAUACAAAAAUAUAUGAGUAAUUUUGAUGUUUGUUAACAUCUCAGAUUGCCUUUCUUGUGUGUAGUGUGGUUCUCCUUCACUUACAGUUUGUCCCAAAAUGAUCUAAUUUGUGUUGUGUGGACAUUAAACCCCAUUCCUCUCUCUCUCUCUCGCAGAAUCCCAGCUGCUCCAUUAUUACAUGUAAUCCACUUAUUAUAAUGGAGCAGCUGGGAUUCUGUGUGUAAGAGAGAGAGAGAGAGAGGGGUUUAAUAUCCACUCAGACACAAACUAGGUCAUUUUGGGACUAACAUAUGGUUAGCAGUGGGAGGAAACCAGAGGACCCGGAGAAAACCCACGAGGUUAGACAGGCGACCCAACUCCUUGUCAUGUACAAUCAGGGAAUGGGGUUUUAUGAUGAAAGACAAUUAAUUGAUCAUUAAUGGUUAAUAUUAAAGAUGCAUUACGUAAGAUUUAGAUAAACAGCUGGCUAUAAUAGUUUAAACGGGAGUUGGAUGGCCGAAUGGUUAGAGCGUGCACGUUGUAUCAUAAGGUCUGUCAUUGAGUCAAGUGGCAUGGUUUCGAUUUCCCAGUUGUACACGACAAAGAGUAGGAUUGCAUGUCCAACCACGUGGGUUUUCUCAGGGUCCUCCCACUGCUAAAGGCCCCUACAUGUACAUGUACGUGCAAGCGAAUUAUUGAAAUAAAAUUGAACCCUGUGUUAGUCCCAAAAUGACCUAGUUUGUGUCAAGUGGAUGUUCUCUCUCUCCCUCAGUUUAAAAUGAAAAUUUCAGUCAAAUUACUUCAUUUUGGGCCAAGUUUUGAGUGUUUGAAGUUUUGUCAAGAUUAGAAUAGUCUCACUUGUCAUUGCUUUGAUAAUAAAGAAGUCUCACUUUCCAUUUUAACAUUAACUGAUUAAAUGGCAC